This 30-nucleotide non-coding RNA is filed under the name Mus musculus (house mouse). Lineage: Eukaryota; Metazoa; Chordata; Mammalia; Rodentia; Muridae. The record is from RNAcentral.
UGCAAUGAGAGUUAUCAGCGUAACCACAGG